GAGGCAGUAACAGCUGGAGCCCAAUACACUCUCACACUCCUACAUUCUCCCUGUCCUACUCUUCCCCACACACAAUAUUUACAGGCUAAAAAGCUGCCCACUCUCCUGGCCACCCUUCCUCUCCAUCUGCCAGCAGUCAGUCCAGUGUUGUCCCAGUUUUGGGAUGUGCCCCAGUGCACUGUUGGGUGAGGAACGAGGGCGGUUCACAGCCCCAGAGGAGUCAGCUGGCCACAGGGCUCACGGGCAGCUUGGUCCCAGCCAGAGUCUGUAGGCAGGGGGGCAGCCUGCUGCUGUCCCCGGAGCUCCCGAAGGGCUGUGCCAGGCCAGUCCAUUGCCCAGGUGUGGCGGGUCACCUAUGUGGGGACAGCGGUCUCCAGGCUGCGCCGGCUGUGCCGGAGCUUCCGCUUGCUGCUGUACAGGGCCAUGUCCUCCAGGGCUGAGGGAGCUGCUGCUGAUGGAUCCCCUGUUCCCAGUGUGUCCUCCUCUGGCUGCCCAUCCUGCUCCUGGUGAACUGCAACGACAAGAGGUGCUGGAUCUGAAGACAAAGCCCUGGGUUAACUCAGGGAAGACCCUGAGAAGAAAUACUUCCCUGUGAAGGAUGAGGCACAGGCUGCCCAGAGGAGCUGUGGCUCGCAGCAACCCGGCCUGAUGGAAGGUGUUCCUGCUCAGGGCAUGGGUGGGACUGGGUGGUCUGAAAAGACCCCUCCCAUCCAAACCAUGCCGUGAUUCUGGCAGCAUGCAGCUGGCACAGUUAAUGCAGAUGUCAAGGCUAUCAUAGGAUGACAGAAUGGUUUGUGUAGGAAAGAACCUUAAAGGUCAUCCCAUCCCACACCCUGCCACAGGCAGGGACAACUUCCACUAUCCCAGGUUGCUCCAAGCCCUGUCCAACCUGGCCUGGAACACUUUCAAGGAGUGUUCCAGGGUAUUCCCAGGUGCUGGAUUUGGGACAGCAUUGGCCUCAAUUACUCACAGUAACCUCCUGCACAGAACCUCCUGGUGGCCUGCAGCUCAUGUAGGGACCAGUGGGUGCUGAGAAGGAAGAGCCACGUGUGAGAAGACUCCUGCCUGUAACAGCCAUCGUACACUGAAUGGGACUGAAGAGCCAAGCUGUAUGGAACACCAAGUGUCCUGAAAUGCUUCUGCUCUCCAGAGCAGGGAUCCACCCUGACCCGGGUCUGCAGGGGUCCUUUGGUCACAGAGGGGAAGGAGAGUCUUUGCUCACUGGCCCAGCUGGCCAGGAGGCCUUUGAACUUAGGGGCACCACAGAGACAUGGUGGGACAGCUGCUGUGCCUCAGGUGUUGGAAUGGGAGGAUCCAGACCCUUAAUGAAGGACGGGGCAAGGAGGUGAGGGUCACCCCUGUGUCAGGCCCAGCUGGAUGCAGGGAGCUGCACCCAAGAGCUCUGAGGAGCUGACCAGAGCUCACAGGACUGCAGAGACAGGUGACAUUCCUGACCAGGGACAGGUGACAUCCUGAGGGGAUGAGGUCUCCACAGACAGAUGGGAGCAGCCUCACAUUCACAAGCCUUGGUCCUUGGGGCUGGUGGGGGGGAAAUUCAACCACCCCAGUAUCUGUAGGAAGGCAGUCCACGAGCUUCAAGUGCAAAUGGGUUCCUGGGAAGUCCCUCUGAAGCCUCUGGAUGCAGAAGAGACCCUCAAGCAGAGAAAUCCAUGAAGGUCUGUCAGCCGAAAGGCUCAGUCUGCUGAGCUGUGCCAGUGUCCCACCCUCUCCUCCACCGCGGCCUCUGGCAAGGAGAAGCCAUUCCCCCUUGUCCUGUCACUCCAGGCCCAGGUGAAAAGUUCCUCCCAGCUCUCUUAGAGCCCCUUUAGGCUCCCCAGAGCUUCUCUUCUGUAGGCUGAACACUCCCAGCCUGGGCAGCCCCUUCAGAGAAGGCUGGGGCUUGGCAGCAGGUGACUGAUCCUCAGACAAGGCACCCAGGUAAAAAAGCAACACAAGGGCACAUGAAGAUAAAAACCCAGCCUGGGUGGGUGGGGGAGAUCCCCUGGCUCAGAGAGAAGCCAGUCCUUUUAGACCCUCUAGGCCAAAGGACCCCCAAACAUGCAGGUUUAGUGAUCCCCAUGCAGCACACUAGGCUUUAAAAACUUGGGCUUUAAAAACAUUUCGGUUGUGCCCUGGGAAAAGCUCUGCUGAAAACAGGAGGGGCAGGAAGGGGCUGUGUUACCCCAUAGGAAAAGGGCAGGAAGGAGCUGUGUUACCCCACGAGAAAAGGGCAGGAAGGAGCUGUGUUACCCCAUAGGAAAAGGGCAGGAAGGAGCUGUGUUACCCAGAAAGAGCUGUGUUACCCUGCAAGACAAGGGCAGGAAGGAGCUGUUACCCAGUAGGAAAAGGGCAGGAAAGAGCUGUGUUACCCCACAGGAAAGGACAGGAGGUGCUGCCACAGGACCCAGCAGCCAGGACUUGUACCUGGGUCAGUAUCUUGCAAAUGAGGAAGAGUGAGGAACUGUAUCAGAAGAGACUUCUGAUGCCACCAAGCUGUAGCAGGGAGUCAAAUGAAGCUCAGUUAUAACAAAGUGGCUCAUGAUCCAUACAGCUGAGGGGUAAAAUGACACGGAAGGGGCAAUUUACUGCAGAUAGGAAUAGAUUCAAGAAAGAAAGAAGUCAAAGCCUCGGUCUCAGAAAGUGCAAACCCACUGAUUGCUGCAGCCUGGAGUAAUUCUGGAAGGAACUACUUUGUGCAUUUCUUCUUUUGUGUCCUUUUCUGGCACUCCCAGUGGCUCCCAUCACACCCCAGCUCAGCCAGAACCUUGUGCUGAUUCACUAAGUUCAUUUUUACACUACUGGAUGACAUUUAAGCUCAAUAAA
Molecule: long non-coding RNA, 2823 nt
Filed under: Taeniopygia guttata (zebra finch)
Lineage: Eukaryota; Metazoa; Chordata; Aves; Passeriformes; Estrildidae
Description: lncRNA (ENSTGUG00000024649.1)
Source: RNAcentral